GGCCGGGAGGAUGGUGGCGCAUGCGCGCUGCCCUAGCGGUCCCGGGGGUGCUCGUCCCGUCCGGGUCGCCGUCGGUGUGGGGGGGCGGCGGUAGCGGCGCGGGGGGCUCCGGUCGCCCCGGUCUCGUCCUGCCUUUCCGCGGCCACUUCGCUUGGCUCGGCGGCGCCGGGACCCCACCGUCGCCUUCAGCUCCUCGCCGCUCCGCUCGCGGGGGGGCUCCGCCAUGGCAAUGACAGGCCCAACACCAUGCUCGUCCAUGAGUAAUCACACCAAGGAGCGAGUUACGAUGACAAAGGUGACAUUAGAAAACUUCUACAGCAAUCUCAUCGCGCAGCACGAGGAACGAGAGAUGAGACAAAAGAAGCUAGAACAAAUGAUGGAAGAAGAAGGCUUAAAAGACGAAGAGAAAAGAAUCCGGAGGUCAGCACAUGCACAGAAGGAGACGGAGUUUCUUCGCCUAAAGAGAACAAGGCUUGGUUUGGAAGACUUUGAGUCUUUAAAAGUAAUAGGCAGAGGAGCAUUUGGAGAGGUGCGGCUUGUCCAGAAGAAAGAUACGGGGCAUGUUUAUGCAAUGAAAAUACUACGUAAAGCUGAUAUGCUUGAAAAAGAGCAGGUUGGCCAUAUUCGAGCGGAGCGGGACAUUCUAGUGGAGGCAGACAGUUUGUGGGUUGUGAAAAUGUUCUAUAGUUUUCAGGACAAGCUAAACCUUUACCUUAUCAUGGAGUUCCUGCCUGGAGGUGAUAUGAUGACGCUGUUGAUGAAAAAAGACACUCUAACAGAAGAAGAGACACAGUUCUACAUAGCUGAGACCGUGCUAGCCAUUGAUUCUAUUCAUCAGCUGGGUUUUAUCCAUAGAGACAUAAAACCAGACAACCUUCUUCUGGAUAGCAAGGGCCACGUAAAGCUCUCAGAUUUUGGUCUGUGUACUGGACUAAAGAAAGCCCACAGAACAGAAUUUUAUAGAAACUUGAACCAUAGUCUUCCUAGUGACUUCACUUUCCAGAACAUGAAUUCCAAAAGGAAAGCAGAGACUUGGAAGAGAAACAGACGGCAGUUGGCUUUUUCUACUGUGGGCACUCCGGAUUACAUUGCCCCUGAAGUUUUCAUGCAGACCGGCUACAACAAACUUUGUGACUGGUGGUCACUUGGAGUCAUCAUGUACGAGAUGUUGAUUGGUUAUCCACCGUUCUGUUCUGAGACUCCUCAAGAAACAUACAAGAAAGUAAUGAAUUGGAAAGAGACUCUCACAUUUCCUCCAGAAGUUCCAAUAUCUGAUAAAGCAAAGGAUCUUAUUUUAAGAUUUUGCUGUGAAUGGGAGCACAGAAUUGGUGCGUCUGGUGUGGAGGAAAUAAAAAGUAACCCGUUCUUUGAAGGGGUUGAUUGGGAGCAUAUCAGGGAGAGACCUGCUGCAAUUUCAAUAGAAAUUAAAAGCAUUGAUGAUACCUCAAACUUUGAUGAAUUUCCAGAAUCUGAUAUCCUUAAGCCAACAGUGGCAACAAGCAACCAUCCAGAGACUGACUACAAGAACAAAGACUGGGUUUUCAUCAAUUACACCUACAAGCGUUUUGAAGGUCUGACAGCCCGAGGAGCAAUACCAUCCUAUAUGAAAGCAGGAAAGUAAUAAAUCUUUAUCUGGGACAACUUCUGAGCCGUGGAAUUCUGUUCCUGUACUUUGGGUUUAUACCCAUAAAAGAACUUUAUCUUUUUUUAAAGAAAACUUGAGGGCUAUUGACUCUUGGAGAAGACUUCAGGACCCUGUUUUGUUACACACCCUGGUUGUUACUAAGGACUUAUUUCUUCCUGCGCCAUUGAAAAAUUCCACAAAAUGUUUGCAUCGUCUCUGCUGCAAGCACGUUCUGCUGCUUCAGGAGCAAGAGUUUGUUUUAUUUUUAAAUUCUUUGCCAGAUUGUACAGCCCAUCAGGAGAUGAGAGCAAGCCUUCACUCUGACGUUGCAAAGCACGUGACGUUUAUAUGGACUCUGUUGCUGGUCGUACAUUAAGUGACAAACUCAAUCUGCCAAUUCUGCCAGCACUGUUUUCCCAGUGGCUAAGGACUUCAGUACAGAGGAAACAAAGCAAUAAUUAAAGCUUGAGAUAGACAACCCUCUAGUAAACUAUGUAGUAGAAGGACACAACUUGUAUUGCCUUAACCUUAGUUUGUAACGCUGGUUUUUAUAAUGCUACUUGGAAGCCUCUUUUCAUAGCAUUUCUCAGCUCUGUCGCAGUGGCCUCCAGUUGCGGUGCACUUUACUUUUGGUACUAAGACAGCGACCCUCAAGCCAUUUAGUAUUUUUUCUAAAUUAAAAAAUUGUGCAACACCUUUUCUAGACAGUCAUAGGAGAAACAGGCCACCUCCUCCAGCGCCAACAGUUUUCAGUGACUGUAUGAAAGGAUCUAUAAAUGAUGCGGAUAAUAAAAACUAAGGCUGGGUAACACAGGUGGAUCUGGAAUUAGAGAAGAGGGGGAGGGAAGUUCAUUUAACCUGAUCAUUGGUGGGCAUCUUGUGUACAGUCGGGUCAGCUGAGGCUUCCCUUUUCCUGCUGCUGCCAUCUUUUGGCCACUUCAAAGAUCUGCUGCAUGUUCAUCUGUUUAAAGACGCAACCCUCUCUUGUGACCUCUUUGCUCUCGGUUUUGAGUAGAACAGUAUCAGAUUCUUCCAUGGAUCUUGAUGACAGAGGCCUCCCUGGCUUUUUCGUACAGAAUUCCUCGAGCUGUCCUGGCUGAACCGUCUGUCCCUCCAGUCCUCCAAGGAGAUGGUGCCUCAUGAGGUCACUUUUGGGGCAGUGGAACCCAUCAUGUCCACUCUUUGAUUAUUGCCUAAUAUAACUUAUAAAAAGUACAUUCAGGUAAGAUCAGGAUGCUCUCCAGGAGAUCCCCACAGUGCCUUUCCUUGCCUAAGCAUCUCUCAGACAUGACUGCGUUUUGGAAGGGAGGACUGAACCUCAGCUGAGCUUUUGGUAAUUCCUUUUCAUAAUCAUGAGCUCCACUUUGUACCUGUUUUGUAGUUAACCCCGCACUUCCAAGGGCAGGUGGCAUUAACCUUUGGGUCAGCCUGGUACCAGUCUUUAUUUUGCAAUUUAAUUUCUUGCAAAGUUCUUGCAAACCUUUAUUGGUGCUGAACACUAACUACAUAGCACAGACAAAAAAAAAGAGCUGUUUAGAAACAAAGCUAGAGCAGCUUGCUCUAGCAAAUGAAGUAAAAUGAAGGCUUUCAGUUAUAUUUAGUCCUAACUUUCCAGAUUAGGAAAUGAAAGAAAAUGAGUUUGUAGUGGAACUUUUUUUUAACAGGUGCUUUUAGGGAAUUUUUACCUAGAUGUCUCUUGAUCCGAGUGCCAUCAUGAAGGACUGAUUGGGGCCUUGAAAGUACUGUAUAUAGCUAAAACUGGGUGGUGACUCGCUAUCGCCCUCUCCGUAACCACCCCUUGUGCUUUUUGUAUGUGUCCUAGGAGUUUAAUGAAUUGCCAUAAGCAGUUUAGAUACCCGUUGGAUCCUACAGAGCUGAAAUGAAAAAAAUAGCCUUAAUUAGAAGUACCAGGAUCACUGUAGUCAGUAGGGCUUACUCAGAUGAAUAAGGGCUAACUGAAGUAAUGCUUUAUAGGGUCAGGCUUUUUAUCAACUAGUCGGUAAUAUCACCUUCUGCUCACUUUUUUUUUAUGAAGGACUGAUACCAACUUCUCAGAUUGCUCUAUCUCCUUAUCCUGCAGUUUCUUCUAGCCAUUUGAAGAUGUUGCCUUAUAAACCAUUGGAAAACUAAGAGACUUGAAAUUGAUCUUAGAAUCAACUGCUUGGGUAUGAGAAUGUGAUGGUAACUCAGGGGCUGAAGACUGCACUUCUAAAAGAUGCAAGCAGAUGGGAAGAAAGGAGCACCCUAUUAAAGGUGAAAGGCAGCGCUCAUCUCCAGAAGAAUUAAACCUGUCUGGCAGAGUGUGCCUGGCUUCUGGGCAAGGGUCUUACUUGUGCCCAGGUGUCUGCCUUGUGUAAAUGUCACUUCAGUUUACCAACUUAAGGGCAAGCUAUUUUUAAUCUUUAUCCCUUUUAAAUAUAGAAAGAGGAAAUAAGUAGUGAGCAAGUGGCACUGGAGGCAAAGCUACAACCCUUCAUUUUUUUUGACUGGUUUGUAACAUGCCAAAAUGAACCUGCAGUUCUUAUUCCAUGGCUUCACAUUUGUGACAGCCCCGCUCGUGAGUGCGAGUUCCUGUUCCCACUUCAGCAAUUCCACUAAAUGCCACCUUGUUCAAACUCUAACGCCUUUCUCGAGCUUCAUUAAGAAAACCCUUGAGAUACAUCCAAUACUGAAGAUGGAAAUAAAAGUCAGUGUGUUCUUCUGAAGACAGAAGUAGGUGGAAGCGGAGCGUAUCUUUCACAGCACACUAACCGAAAAUAGCACUGGGGCCUGUGAGAGCUGCCGCAUAGUUUGUGGGUUAAGUAGUGUUGUCUCAUACCUGUGUUAUGUGCUGCUUUUAGAACAUCGCUGCAGUGAGUUGGUAAACUUUGAGGCCCUCUCAGCACGCGUGGUAAUCGCACUUCUGUGCAGCUGCUGCACAAGGUUCCUGCCAAAACAACCAGGCUCUGCCUGAUGCAAAACUAGUACUAAGACUGGGGUCACAAGCCACAUUUGCUUUAUAAAGCAAGGAAACAAAACCUAGCGAUCUAUCCCCUGCCCAAUUGUCUAUUCCCCAUUUAAAACAGUUUUUAGAAGACCCAAACAAGCCGUGUAUAAUUUAUACUUUAAUACAGAAAGGAAACCGUACAGCUGUAGUUAAUACACACCACAGGUAACACUUCAGUAUAUCUAGAACAAGACAAGACUUGACCUUGUACCUGAAUAGUAGGUGACCAAGAGAGGAAGAAAAGCAAAUGCAUGCUUUUUCAAUUUGAACUCACUCUACUGAAAAAAAAAUAUCCAAAAUUCCUCUUUAAUUACCUGGGAAAGCCAGACACGUAACAGUGGCUUUUUGGAAUGAAAAAACUGCAUGGAGAUCACAGAAGCUGGCUACCUCCAUCCCAAAUUGAUUACACGGAGUACCAACCGGUUCCUAUGAGGCACGGUCUUUAACCCUCAGGCAAGAGCCUGGGGCCACUGUUUCUAAUAAAAUGGCUGAAUCCUUCAAGCGGCGUAGGUGACACUUGGCUCAGUUUGUUUUGGCUGAAUACGGUACUUAGCUGUCAGAUCCCAUACGGUGCCGUCGAUGUCGGCUGCUCAGCCUCCGAUGCCUUGACAUGGUCCUGUAGGGUAGCGCUCAAGAACACGCACGUUCAAGUCCUUAGAGCAGAACAUGUGUAAACUCCAAUUCCAAGUCAGCUGGUCAAAACCAAUAUAUAUUUACUUAAAACUGUAAAAAUAAAUACACAGAAAAAAAAAAAAAA
Molecule: non-coding RNA, 5367 nt
Organism: Phalacrocorax carbo (great cormorant)
Lineage: Eukaryota; Metazoa; Chordata; Aves; Suliformes; Phalacrocoracidae
Source: RefSeq, a predicted model, not a curated record